This 438-nucleotide ribosomal RNA is filed under the name Triticum aestivum (bread wheat). Its description in RNAcentral is "partial small subunit ribosomal RNA". The record is from RNAcentral. Lineage: Eukaryota; Viridiplantae; Streptophyta; Magnoliopsida; Poales; Poaceae.
UGUGGUCCGAUGAAUAUUGAAGCUCGUGGCGGAUAUCGUUAUUUUCUCACCUUCACAGAUGAUUUGAGCAGAUAUGGGUAUAUCUACUUAAUGAAACAUAAGUCUGAAACAUUUGAAAAGUUCAAAGAAUUUCAGAGUGAAGUUGAAAAUCAUCGUAACAAGAAAAUAAAAUUCCUACGAUCUGAUCGUGGAGGAGAAUAUUUGAGUUACGAGUUUGGUCUACAUUUGAAACAAUGCGGAAUAGUUUCGCAACUCACGCCACCCAGAACACCACAGCGUAAUGGUGUGUCUGAACGUCGUAAUCGUACUUUAUUAGAUAUGGUGCGAACUAUGAUGUCUCUUACUGAUUUACCGCUAUCAUUUUGGGGUUAUGCUUUAGAGACGGCUGCAUUCACUCUAAAUAGGACACCAUCGAAAUCCGUUGAGACGACGCCUUUU